GUAGUCCACGCCCUAAACGUUGAUUACUCGUUGUUGGCGAUAUACUGUCAGCGACCAAGCUAAAGCGUUAAGUAAUCCACCUGGGAAGUACGACCGCAAGGUUGAAACUCAAAGGAAUUGACGGGGGCCCGCACAAGCGGAGGAGCAUGUGGUUUAAUUCGAUGAUACGCGAGGAACCUUACCUGGGCUUGAAAGUUAGUGCCUUUCUGUGAAAGCAGAAUUCUCUUCGGAGCACAAAACUAGGUGCUGCAUGGCUGUCGUCAGCUCGUGCCGUGAGGUGUUGGGUUAAGUCCCGCAACGAGCGCAACCCCUUUCUUUAGUUGCCAUCAGGUAAUGCUGGGGACUCUAAAGAUACUGCCUACGUAAGUAGUGAGGAAGGUGGGGACGACGUCAAGUCAUCAUGGCCCUUACGUCCAGGGCUACACACGUGCUACAAUGGUCGACACAGAUGGUUGCUACUUAGUAAUAAGAUGCUAAUCCCAAAAAGUCGGCCUCAGUUCGGAUUGAGGUCUGCAACUCGACCUCAUGAAGCUGGAUUCGCUAGUAAUCGCAUAUCAGCAAUGAUGCGGUGAAUACGUUCCCGGGCCUUGUACACACCGCCCGUCAAGCCAUGGAAGAUGGGAGUACCUGAAGCCGAUAACCGCAAGGAGUCGUCUAGGGUAAUACCGUUGACUGGGGCU
Molecule: ribosomal RNA, 680 nt
Filed under: uncultured bacterium
Lineage: Bacteria
Description: bacterial SSU rRNA
Rfam family: Bacterial small subunit ribosomal RNA
Source: RNAcentral